Molecule: ribosomal RNA, 497 nt
Filed under: uncultured bacterium
Lineage: Bacteria
Description: partial 16S ribosomal RNA
Rfam family: Bacterial small subunit ribosomal RNA
Source: RNAcentral
GAUGAACGCUGGCGGCGUGCCUAAUACAUGCAAGUCGAGCGAACAGACGAGGAGCUUGCUCCUCUGACGUUAGCGGCGGACGGGUGAGUAACACGUGGAUAACCUACCUAUAAGACUGGGAUAACUUCGGGAAACCGGAGCUAAUACCGGAUAAUAUAUUGAACCGCAUGGUUCAAUAGUGAAAGACGGUUUUGCUGACACUUAUAGAUGGAUCCGCGCCGCAUUAGCUAGUUGGUAAGGUAACGGCUUACCAAGGCAACGAUGCGUAGCCGACCUGAGAGGGUGAUCGGCCACACUGGAACUGAGACACGGUCCAGACUCCUACGGGAGGCAGCAGUAGGGAAUCUUCCGCAAAGGGCGAAAGCCUGACGGAGCAACGCCGCGUGAGUGAUGAAGGUCUUCGGAUCGUAAAACUCUGUUAUUAGGGAAGAACAAAUGUGUAAGUAACUAUGCACGUAUUGACGGUACCUAAUCAGAAAGCCACGGCUAACUACGUG